UGAAACAGCAGAAAAAAUUAAUGCAAUAUAUUUGAGAAAGAGAAAUAUAGAAUCUCAAAUGCUAACUGAGUAUUUAAAUAAAAAAGAAAGUGAGAUUAGUACAGAUACAAUUCUAAUUAAUGACAUUAAUGACUUCAAAAUAACUAAUAGUGAUACUAUAAUCUGAUUGAGUAGGGAAAUAUGUUUGUUUUUGCAGAAUUUAAAUAAAGAAGUUGCUAAUACUAUUUCGAGUGGAGUACAAAAAGAAUUUCAAAACUUUAACAAAAAAGAGGUUAAUAAUACUAUUUCGAGUGGAGUACUAAAAGAAUUUCAAAACCCUAACAAAAAAGAGGUUAAAGACGACGCUCUGGGUUCGUAUGAUGAAGAUGACGAUGAUGAUGAUGAUGAUGACCAUGAUGUGAAUAUUUUCGAUGAGGAUAAUCCAGAGCCAUGCAUUACAAGAUCACCUAGUGAGGAGGAAUCUAUUCUUGUCGAAGGUGGAAUAAGUAACUACAUACAAACUAUUCCUUUAAAUUUAGAUAAGGAUAAUGAUGAAUAUAUAAAAUCAAUUCCUUUAAGUAAUGAUGAUAAUAAAAUCUAUAUAUUAGAGGGUGGUAUAAAUAGUUAUGUACAAACUAUACCACUAAAUAUAGAAGAAAGUAAGCAAAUUGAAUGUAAUUCGAAGAAAACAUUUUAAUUGUUCUUUAAAAUAAAAAAUUUAUAAUAUUGUUUUUGGAAA
Molecule: non-coding RNA, 718 nt
Organism: Drosophila takahashii
Lineage: Eukaryota; Metazoa; Arthropoda; Insecta; Diptera; Drosophilidae
Source: RefSeq, a predicted model, not a curated record